Molecule: ribosomal RNA, 369 nt
Filed under: Triticum aestivum (bread wheat)
Lineage: Eukaryota; Viridiplantae; Streptophyta; Magnoliopsida; Poales; Poaceae
Description: partial small subunit ribosomal RNA
Source: RNAcentral
AUGCAAAGAAAAAUGUACGCAGACAGGAUGCGGCCGGGAUGCGUCCGCGCGUUGGGCGCACGGCCACCGCAUCCCAGAAACGGUCCGGACACGACCCCAUUGCCCUACCCAAACGGACAGAAUCCGGGCAAAACGGACGUCCGUUUGGGGCCGCGCGGUGGAGUUGGCCUUAGUCCUACAACUUGCAAAAUAAACCUACCCAAUCCUACAACUUGCACCCAAUGUGCAACUUUGGUCCUGGGCCAAUCACAUAGCAACAACUGGACUGCUCGGGCCCGAGCCGGUCGGCGCACGCAUAUUUGCAGAAUCCCCCCUGCCUUUCCUUGUAAUGAACCCGCAGUACAGGCUCGAGAGUCAGGGGGAAGCUAA